GGAAUAUUGGUCAAUGGAUGGAAGUCUGAACCAGCCAUGCCGCGUGCAGGAGGACGGCCUUCUGGGUUGUAAACUGCUUUUGCCAGGGGCUAAAAAGCUCAUGCGUGAGAAAUUGAAAGUACCUGGUGAAUAAGCCACGGCUAACUACGUGCCAGCAGCCGCGGUAAUACGUAGGCGGCAAGCGUUGUCCGGAUUUAUUGGGUUUAAAGGGUGCGUAGGCGGCCCUGUAAGUCAGUGCUGAAAUAUCCCGGCUUAACCGGGAGGGUGGCAUUGAUACUGCGGGGCUUGAGUACAGAUGAGGUAGGCGGAAUUGACGGUGUAGCGGUGAAAUGCAUAGAUAUCGUCAAGAACACCGAUAGCGAAGGCAGCUUACUAAGUUGUAACUGACGCUGAUGCACGAAAGUGUGGGGAUCAAA
Molecule: ribosomal RNA, 416 nt
Filed under: uncultured bacterium
Lineage: Bacteria
Description: bacterial SSU rRNA
Rfam family: Bacterial small subunit ribosomal RNA
Source: RNAcentral